Electrophorus electricus (electric eel) is the source of this 1640-nucleotide non-coding RNA. Lineage: Eukaryota; Metazoa; Chordata; Actinopteri; Gymnotiformes; Gymnotidae. The record is from RefSeq and is a predicted model, not a curated record.
UUUCUAAAACCCUGCAAAUAUCGCACAAGGUUGAGAAAGACGGGAUUUCCUGUUAUACUGCUGAGCUGCAGAAUUUGAGUUGAGGCGAACCAAGUGUCUAGUCAGUGUCAUCUUUUUUGAUUUCAUGCCUUAGUCACGUAAUACAUUCUGUGCGUGUCCUAGACUACAUCCAGAAGUAGCUAGCUAGCCAGUAAUAAAAAUGUCUGAAUCCACGGUGGCUGAUACUCGCCGGUUAAACUCAAAACCCCAGGAUCUCACGGAUGCUUACGGACCUCCGAGUAAUUUUCUGGAAAUUGACGUCUAUGACCCCCAAACCAUUGGAGUUGGACGGAAUCGUUUCACUACUUAUGAAGUCCGAAUGAGGACUAAUCUCCCCAUUUUCAAGUUGAAGGAGUCUUGUGUACGAAGAAGGUACAGUGACUUUGAGUGGCUGAAAAAUGAGCUGGAAAGAGACAGUAAGAUUGUUGUGCCUCCUCUGCCUGGGAAGGCAUUGAAGAGACAGCUCCCGUUUCGUGGGGAUGAGGGAAUAUUUGAGGAGUCCUUCAUUGAAGAGAGGCGAGUUGGACUCGAACAGUUUAUUAACAGAAUUGCUGGUCAUCCCUUGGCCCAGAACGAGCGCUGUCUUCACAUGUUCCUGCAGGAGGAGAGCAUUGAUCGGAACUACAUCCCAGGAAAAGUAUGAAUGAAACCGCAUGUCAUGAUUGCAUGGUUCUUCAAAGUCUGCUGCAUAAUGUAACAGAUGCUACUGCAAGACUAAGACACCUACUUCCCUUCGAGGACUCCCUCAUCUGUGUGCCGUGUGUAUAUGCUUAGCACGCUCAUUCAGGUGCUCUUAAAGAAGAGAGAUACAUGAUCAAUGAACCCUGAUUUAAAGAAGAAAAAAAAACUGGCAAUUAAAAUCUAAUCUUUUUGACCUGUAAUUUUUUUUUUUUUUUUUUUUUUGAGAUCUUUUAUUGAUAAAAGCCUAGCCAGCCAAUAAUGGUUUGACUAAGCUGUGCAAAUAUGCUAUAUUGCAUGAAUAAUUGUGGGGUUUUAUUUUUUUGGGGGUGGGGGGUGUUUAUAAGUCAGAGUAAGGUCAGUAAGAGUGUGCCUUCAGGGCAGGAAAAAAUGUUCCAUAGUGAGUACCAGAUGUAUGCAGUGUUGUAAAUUCAAGCUUCGCUUGUCAUGUCAGACAGAAAAUUGUUUUUUUCGUGUUCCUCUUUUGGCUUGGAUGUCAUGCAUUUCAGAACAAUUUACAAAAUAGAAAAUGACAGACAGUAAAUUGGGACCAUCCCUUGUAAAAUCAGAUGUAUUCCCUUUCCCCAUUCCAUGUGCCAUUUUAUAUAUAUACUUUUAAAUUGCUCUUUUAUCAAAACAUUUACUGCAAAGGUUGGUUUUUGUUUUGUUUUGUUUUUUUUAAAUACAAACUUCAUAUUUAGUUUAUCUUGGUUUUACAACACUGCUGUUGGGAAUGUACAUAUUCACUCACUGUGAAAAUAAUAAGAUGGCACGUUUUCACAUGUCUGUCUAGAUUAUUUCUGUUAUUUUUGUCAUAUUGCUUAUUCAAGACUGUACUAUUAACCUGUUAAGUGCAGUAGUUAUUUUCAUGUAUCCCUGUAAUUUCUUCAAGUAAAUAAAAUUCCUUCUGCCUUCUUCCUUAA